GCCAGGCAGGGUGGGGGCAUGCCUGUAAUCCCAGCAGCUGGGGAGGCUGAGGCAGGAGGAUGGCAAGUUCAAGGCCAUCUGGAGAAUUCAGAAAGAUCUUCAGCAACUUAGUGAGAUCCUGUCUUAA
This 127-nucleotide small RNA is filed under the name Marmota monax (woodchuck). Lineage: Eukaryota; Metazoa; Chordata; Mammalia; Rodentia; Sciuridae. The record is from RNAcentral.